AACGCACAUUGCGCCCGCCACUCGUGGCGGGCAUGCCUGUCCGAGCGUCAUUUCAACCCUCAAGUAGUGCUUGGUGUUGGGGCUUCCAGUGCUUCUCUGGGCCCUCAAGAGCAGCGGCGAACUCUGCCGUGCCUGGGUGCAGUACUUACUACCCGCUCAGCGCACGGGGGAAGCCUUCGCCGUAAAAAAAAAGCGCGAAGGAGGGAAAGGCAGCUAUUCUGUCUUCUCUCCCGACCCUUUCUUCUCAUGGUUGACCUCGGAUCAGGUAGGAAUACCCGCUGAACUUAA
This 288-nucleotide unclassified non-coding RNA is filed under the name uncultured fungus. Its description in RNAcentral is "partial contains 5.8S ribosomal RNA, internal transcribed spacer 2, and large subunit ribosomal RNA". Lineage: Eukaryota; Fungi. The record is from RNAcentral.